This 253-nucleotide ribosomal RNA is filed under the name uncultured bacterium. RNAcentral's name for it is "partial 16S ribosomal RNA". It matches the Rfam family "Bacterial small subunit ribosomal RNA", at positions 524 to 776 of the family's 1533-position model. The record is from RNAcentral.
UACGUAGGGUGCAAGCGUUGUCCGGAAUUAUUGGGCGUAAAGAGCUCGUAGGCGGUCUGUCGCGUCGGCUGUGAAAACCUGGGGCUCAACCCCAGGCCUGCAGUCGAUACGGGCAGACUAGAGUCCGGCAGGGGAGACUGGAAUUCCUGGUGUAGCGGUGAAAUGCGUAGAUAUCGUAAGGAAGACCAGUGGCGAAGGCGGGUCUCUGGACAGUUCCUGACGCUGAGGCGCGAAAGCUAGGGGAGCAAACGGG